UACGUAGGGGGCAAGCGUUGUCCGGAAUCAUUGGGCGUAAAGAGCGUGUAGGCGGCCUUACAGGUCAGCUGUGAAAACUCGAGGCUCAACCUCGAGACGUCGGUUGAAACCGUAAGGCUAGAGUCCGGAAGAGGAGAGUGGAAUUCCCGGUGUAGCGGUGAAAUGCGCAGAUAUCGGGAAGAACACCCGUGGCGAAGGCGGCUCUCUGGGACGGUACUGACGCUGAGACGCGAAAGCGUGGGGAGCGAACAGG
This 253-nucleotide ribosomal RNA is filed under the name uncultured bacterium. RNAcentral describes it as "partial 16S ribosomal RNA". It matches the Rfam family "Bacterial small subunit ribosomal RNA", at positions 524 to 776 of the family's 1533-position model. The record is from RNAcentral.